AUUUUAUUUUUAGGAUAAUAGAGAUUUAGAGGUGGGGAUGUAAGUUUUAGUUUUAAGAUUGAAAUUGGAAAUUGUGAGAAGGAAAAAUUUUUUUUUUUGUAGAGGUUUUUGAGUUGUUAGGAUGUAAGUUUAGAGUUAAUAAGAUUUUGUGUGGAUAUUUGUAUUUGAAGAUAAUAAAAGAUGGAAAAAGAAUAAGUUUUA
This 201-nucleotide unclassified non-coding RNA is filed under the name Hevea brasiliensis (rubber tree). Lineage: Eukaryota; Viridiplantae; Streptophyta; Magnoliopsida; Malpighiales; Euphorbiaceae. The record is from RNAcentral.